UACGUAGGGUCGAGCGUUGUCCGGAAUUACUGGGCGUAAAGAGCUCGUAGGUGGUUUGUCGCGUUGUCCGUGAAAACUCACAGCUCAACUGUGGGCGUGCGGGCGAUACGGGCAGACUGGAGUACUGCAGGGGAGACUGGAAUUCCUGGUGUAGCGGUGGAAUGCGCAGAUAUCAGGAGGAACACCGGUGGCGAAGGCGGGUCUCUGGGCAGUAACUGACGCUGAGGAGCGAAAGCGUGGGGAGCGAACAGG
Molecule: ribosomal RNA, 252 nt
Filed under: uncultured bacterium
Lineage: Bacteria
Description: partial 16S ribosomal RNA
Rfam family: Bacterial small subunit ribosomal RNA
Source: RNAcentral